AUGCAAGUCGAGCGGUAGAGAGGUGCUUGCACCUCUUGAGAGCGGCGGACGGGUGAGUAAAGCCUAGGAAUCUGCCUGGUAGUGGGGGAUAACGCUCGGAAACGGACGCUAAUACCGCAUACGUCCUACGGGGGAAAGCAGGGGACCUUCGGGCCUUGCGCUAUCAGAUGAGCCUAGGUCGGAUUAGCUAGUUGGUGAGGUAAUGGCUCACCAAGGCGACGAUCCGUAACUGGUCUGAGAGGAUGAUCAGUCACACUGGAACUGAGACACGGUCCAGACUCCUACGGGAGGCAGCAGUGGGGAAUAUUGGACAAUGGGCGAAAGCCUGAUCCAGCCAUGCCGCGUGUGUGAAGAAGGUCUUCGGAUUGUAAAGCACUUUAAGUUGGGAGGAAGGGCAUUAACCUAAUACGUUAGUGUUUUGACGUUACCGACAGAAUAAGCACCGGCUAACUCUGUGCCAGCAGCCGCGGUAAUACAGAGGGUGCAAGCGUUAAUCGGAAUUACUGGGCGUAAAGCGCGCGUAGGUGGUUCGUUAAGUUGGAUGUGAAAUCCCCGGGCUCAACCUGGGAACUGCAUUCAAAACUGUCGAGCUAGAGUAUGGUAGAGGGUGGUGGAAUUUCCUGUGUAGCGGUGAAAUGCGUAGAUAUAGGAAGGAACACCAGUGGCGAAGGCGACCACCUGGACUGAUACUGACACUGAGGUGCGAAAGCGUGAGGAGCAAACAGGAUUAGAUACCCUGGUAGUCCACG
RNAcentral lists this ribosomal RNA (749 nucleotides) under uncultured bacterium. RNAcentral describes it as "bacterial SSU rRNA". It matches the Rfam family "Bacterial small subunit ribosomal RNA", at positions 55 to 799 of the family's 1533-position model. The record is from RNAcentral.